This 253-nucleotide ribosomal RNA is filed under the name uncultured bacterium. Its description in RNAcentral is "partial 16S ribosomal RNA". It matches the Rfam family "Bacterial small subunit ribosomal RNA", at positions 524 to 776 of the family's 1533-position model. The record is from RNAcentral.
UACAGAGGGUGCGAGCGUUAAUCGGAAUUACUGGGCGUAAAGCGUGCGUAGACGGUUAUUUAAGUCGGAUGUGAAAGCCCCGGGCUCAACCUGGGAAUGGCAUUUGGGACUGCAAGGCUUGAGUGCGGCAGAGGAGACUGGAAUUCCUGGUGUAGCGGUGAAAUGCGCAGAUAUCAGGAGGAACACCGGUGGCGAAGGCGGGUCUCUGGGCCGAUACUGACGCUGAGGAGCGAAAGCGUGGGGAGCAAACAGG